Long non-coding RNA from Brienomyrus brachyistius, 2589 nucleotides. RefSeq lists it as uncharacterized. The transcript has 6 exons. The record is from RefSeq and is a predicted model, not a curated record. NCBI's taxonomy places the organism in Eukaryota, Metazoa, Chordata, Actinopteri, Osteoglossiformes, Mormyridae.
UUGCAAUUUGAUGAAAUUAAUGAGAAAUGCCACUCUGUUGUGAACAAUUGCAAGGUGGUUUGGAGAUUUGUCCAUGUUAUUUUGAGAAUGUCAUUUGUUUUAGGAAAUGAGCCAAACCAAUGGAGAAAAACUGUAACAUAUGCAACCUACUAUUGGAAUAAAAGCACACUUAGUAAUCUAACAUAAGAAAAACUAUUCAAAUAAAUAAUAGCAAGAGAAUGUAGUAGGAACAAAUUGUAAGUACCAAAUAUAAGGACAGAGCAUCCAGCUGGGUGACGUGAUCCAUUUCAACAGAAGCAUCAAUGAUGGCAAUGAAGGGGGAGGGCCAGUUAGAGGAGUUGAAGUGCUGCUAAGAUGUUUCGUCAAGGUUGUAUGGGACCCAAUACACUGGACAGCUCUUCCUGGUGUUAUUAAAAUAAUGCACUUGUGGUUUAGUAUUAUUUUUCAGAAUGAGGAACAUAGGAGAACAAUUAGUCAGAGGAAGUGAAGAGCAGUGCUGCUUCUCAGAUGGCUGACAAACGUAAGACAGACAGGGAAGCCAACAGACUGCUGAGAGAAGAUGCAGCUUGCUGUCUUUGUUGUGCUUUUCUGUUUAAAUACUCAUUUUGGAAGGGGACAGCAAAGAAUCAACCGUUCCGGACAACUGUUAUUCCAGUUAAUUUUCCACCCCUUUUAUAACAAUUAUGAAAAGUCCUGUUGUAAAUUAAACCACAGGCAAUGUCAAACAUUUGUGAACAACAGAGGAUAUGUUGAUACAUUUUAUAAAGAAAGACUAUCAACCCUAGAGUUCAAUGGAGGAUUUGAAAUAAGGAUUUGGAAUUUAUAUCCGUUAGAUACAGGAAUUUACAGGUGCAUGGUACACGGGACACCAGCUUACAUUUACCGAGACUUUUCCGUUGAAGUGUCAGGUACACAACAGAGUCCAUCUGAAUCUACAACUACCCACAGAACCAGCAAAGACACUUCUACUACUAUUAUACAGCAUCAAGCAUCUACCAGCUCAAGAUCCCUGAAAAGCAUGUGGAUAACACUGACCAUUGUAAUGACUGUUUUAAUGCUGCUUGUCAUCUUAAUAACCUCUAUGGCGUAUCACAGGGCAAAAAAUGAAUGUGGAACUGAGGCAUGUGAUAAUCGUCCUCACAUCCUCCAAGAAUCCACCAUUGAAGAUCUGAACACAAUUGUCUACACGACAGUUGACUUCAAGAACCCUGAGGAUCAUUCCGUAAUCUACGUCAACUCACAGAUUCCUCCACCAUCAAAGAACAAUUAUGAGAGUGAUAAUUACUAUAAUUCCAGGGAAAUGGUGCAAUACUCCACUCUAGUUUUGCAGACGUAAUAUACUAAACUAUGGCGUUCUCAUUCCAUAGUAUUUUUUUUUUUGUAAUCUAGAAGCUGAUUAAGACCGAUUCCAGUUGUCUCCACUAAUGAUUUCAGUACUUGCAUGGAUAGUCACUUUUAGUCAAACCACACAGAACAAAGCUAUCAUUCUGCUAAUAGAAUUUUGGUUCCUGUAACACACCAUAUUUUCUGGGACGGACCCUAGGAGGGUGUGACUAUCAAUGGGCUGGUGAGACUUAAUUAUAAAUGAUACAAGCGAAAACAGAAACUCAAUGAACCUUGAGGGGUCAAACAAGAAGUGAGGAGGAACUAAACAGAGCGACUGGAAUGACCCUAUGACACAGGCAAGAACAGUCGGUUCCAAUAAUAUUUAAAGUUGAACUACACACUACCAUAAAUGACAACCUCAAUGAAAGAUAUGGGGAAGAAGGCAAGAGCAGGAACAUAUAUACACAGAUCAUGAUUAACAAACCAGAGACAGGUGAUUGGCACAUUAAGCAGGGAACAAUUAUGUGAUUACAAGAUGGCCAAGUGACCUCUGCUGGCAAAACCAGGACAUGACAGGUUGACAAGACAGGUCCUGACACCUUUCUCCAUUCAGUCCACAGUUUCUUAGUCGCAGGCGGUGCAGGAAUUAAUGCUCAAAAACCAUCUAUUAAUAUUUCUUUAUAAUUUGCUUUAAUCCAAAGUUAUCUAUUUCAUAGGAUUUUGUCUUCAAACAGACAAUUGAGAAUGUGUAAUUAGCUGGCACAUAAUCAUUUUUUAUGAAGGAUUUAAGAAAAAUGCUAAUUUGUAUAUCCUGGCAGAAGAUGAACAAUAUAAUGUCAUCUUAAUUUAACCAUUAGCCAUCGAUUGUUUGUGCUUUUGUUUGUAUGAACUCCACUUGGAGAUUACAUGCUUUUAGUAUGUGUACUAUGUCGUAUCACCUUUAAAGAUACCUGCGUAUUUUGAAACUAAACAUUUGAUUCAAUGUUAUGGGGCUCUGAGUGUCAUUUUGUAAUGGAUAGAGCAAGGGCAGCCUUUAGGCAUUUUAAGUGGUAACUCACACCUUAAUGAAAUGAUGAUAUAAUUUCUGUGUUUGGCUUUACACAUUUAAUAUUAAUACUGCAUACAUUUGUAAUUUUGUAUUUUGUGAAGAUCUCUACAUGAAAAUGAAAUUCUGAUUAGUGCACUUUAUGGAACUGGACCUAUUGUUUUUGUAUAUUUCGUUUAGCUUUGAUGUAAAUAAAGAAGUCAAUGAAUGCGUCAUAA